This 505-nucleotide ribosomal RNA is filed under the name uncultured bacterium. Its description in RNAcentral is "partial 16S ribosomal RNA". It matches the Rfam family "Bacterial small subunit ribosomal RNA", at positions 28 to 507 of the family's 1533-position model. The record is from RNAcentral.
GACGAACGCUGGCGGCGUGCCUAAUACAUGCAAGUAGAACGCACAGUUUAUACCGUAGCUUGCUACACCAUACACUGUGAGUUGCGAACGGGUGAGUAACGCGUAGGUAACCUGCCUGGUAGCGGGGGAUAACUAUUGGAAACGAUAGCUAAUACCGCAUAAUAUUGAUUAUUGCAUGAUAAUUGAUUGAAAGAUGCUAUUGCAUCACUACCAGAUGGACCUGCGUUGUAUUAGCUAGUAGGUGAGGUAACGGCUCACCUAGGCGACGAUACAUAGCCGACCUGAGAGGGUGAUCGGCCACACUGGGACUGGGACACGGCACAGGAUCCUACGGGAGGCAGCAGUAGGGAAUCUUCGGCAAUGGACGAAAGUCUGACCGAGCAACGCCGCGUGAGUGAAGAAGGUUUUCGGAUCGUAAAGCUCUGUUGUAAGAGAAGAACGGGUGUGAGAGUGGAAAGUUCACACUGUGACGGUAUCUGACCAGAAAGGGACGGCUAACUACGUG